GAACGCAGUCUAUGCGCGCGACGCGGUUUCUAAACUGCAGCCUGUAAACAGCGCUUCCCGUUGGCAUUGUCAAACGUAAUAAAUACUUGUAUUUUACGCUAACCUUUUCAGAAACAAACUCACAGAACACGGCCUGGAGGUGACUGACAAGCAAGCACGACACAGACACACCAGGAGAUGCGCUGAACAGAGGAAAUAACACGAUGGAAACAUCAGUGGACUUUAUAACAGCAGGAAUGGACCAGACGGAAUCGCUCCCAAGUGACCAUCGUCAUGCCAGGAGGUGUGGGCCCUUAGGAGUGUCGCUACGAGCCACACAGCAAACUACCCCAUCCCCGACAAACAACAAGUGAACCAGAGAUCUCCCCCUGUCCCAAUGCACUAGACACUUACAGCUCCAACACUGGGCCAAGCACUCCACUGCAGCUUUUGCAGCUGGGCUGCCCUGCCUCACUUGGAUGCAUCAACAAAGCUUGAAGUGGCCACUCUAAUCUGGUUAAGUAUUGCCUGGUUGGGGAGAAAUUAGCCGAAUUCUUUUAACUUUUCAAACAAACAUAAUACAGUCAAACUUGCUGGAUAAGAAUCAAUUACAUGAACUGAAAAUAGGUUCGGGGGGAUAUCAUUUCAUUUCUGGAAAUCAUCUAAUACAUCUAUUCAAUGGCAUAUGCCUGUAGUGUCACAUCGAAGCCAUAUUUCAGUCCAGUGAGAUGAAUGAAGAGUAUCUGUUGAAACACUGCCGGAAUACGUUUCACAAAUCUUUUUCACCCAGUGGCGAUAUUGCUAUUAUCAGCAUUACUUGAAAAAUAGUUAUUCCCUGCCUAAAUCCAUAAGAUAUUGUAGGAAUAAUGGGAUAAUUUUAGGGUAAUUGCAUAGUUUCUCACUAUGAUUGAU
Molecule: long non-coding RNA, 891 nt
Organism: Epinephelus fuscoguttatus (brown-marbled grouper)
Lineage: Eukaryota; Metazoa; Chordata; Actinopteri; Perciformes; Serranidae
Exons: 4
Source: RefSeq, a predicted model, not a curated record